UACGGAGGGGGCUAGCGUUGUUCGGAAUUACUGGGCGUAAAGCGCACGUAGGCGGCUUUACAAGUCAGAGGUGAAAGCCCGGAGCUUAACUCCGGAAUUGCCUUUAAAACUGCAUCGCUAGAAUUGUGGAGAGGUGAGUGGAAUUCCGAGUGUAGAGGUGAAAUUCGUAGAUAUUCGGAAGAACACCAGUGGCGAAGGCGACUCACUGGACACAUAUUGACGCUGAGGUGCGAAAGCGUGGGGAGCAAACAGG
This 253-nucleotide ribosomal RNA is filed under the name uncultured bacterium. RNAcentral describes it as "partial 16S ribosomal RNA". It matches the Rfam family "Bacterial small subunit ribosomal RNA", at positions 524 to 776 of the family's 1533-position model. The record is from RNAcentral.